Molecule: long non-coding RNA, 855 nt
Organism: Engraulis encrasicolus (European anchovy)
Lineage: Eukaryota; Metazoa; Chordata; Actinopteri; Clupeiformes; Engraulidae
Exons: 3
Source: RefSeq, a predicted model, not a curated record
CGCUAAAAAUGUGGAAAAAGAGCGUAUGUGCGCUUCAUAGUCCACAGUUUAAAGAGGAUUGUCCUUGUUGUGUGCCCUACGGUGUACACCGCUUCCCCGGCCGUGCUGAGGAUGAAGACAUUCGCAAGAUAUGGAUUAAAAACGUACACCGAAAGGACUUUGCCCCCAAACAAGUAUUCAAUGGUGUGUGGAGUAUACUUCCCUGACGGCAGACCAACGCAGGAACACCCAUAUCCCAUAAUAUGGGAUAUGAAUAUAGUAAAGCACUAUCAUGUGGAAGACCACCCCCGAAGAGGAGAUGUCUCCAGCCCCCAACAGAGAGACUUGGAUUAAUGUUGAGAGGAUUAUUGUUCAAUACGGUGCAGAAACACUUGGUUCAGUUAUAUGUAUAUAUCAAUCAUCUUUCAAGAAAUCCUUCAUCCCCUCAGCUGUGACCAUACUGAACAAGAUAUGAACUGUCCAGCUGCAGCAUGAAUGUAUUGUGUGGUCGUCUUUUUUUUUUUUUUUUGGUCAAGCCUUGUCUAAUGUCUGUGAGAAUCACUGAAGUCACGCCAAAGACAAUUUUCUGUUUCAUGGUUGUAACAGACAAUAAAGUUUUAUCUAAUCUCAUCAUAUCAAUGAGAAUCAGUGCACCUGACAAAGGUAUGACAUACUGUAUACUGUAGGCUUAAGUGCUAAAGGAAAAUGAAUUAACCUUAGCGGUUUUGAAUUGUUUAUUUACACAGUUAUUAAAAUGCAUACAGAUAGUGAAUGUAAUAUAGUUCAAUACUGUGUGCUUACUCGAUGGUGUUUUUUAUAUGUGCUGAACUGAAAAACAACCUAGCUACUUGUGCUCAAUACACUAAAUGACUCUUG